UCCAUUUUUGGAAACUGAACGUAAUGGAAACUGAACGUUGCUCUCUCUCUCCAGCGUCCGAACCGAGCCGAAAAACAGGGCCGACGCUCUCCGGCCAAGUUCUCCUCCAUCCGGCCACCAAUCUUCACCAAAUUUCGUCCAUCAGCUUCGCCUCACUCCUCUGAAGCCGUCUGUGGAAACCUUCCACGGCGGCGCGGCCUCUAGCGGCGGCGGCAAGCUUGUUUCGAUUUGAGUUCGAUUUUAGUCAACGCCGGUUUUCUCCUAGCUCUGGCCACCAAAACUUCCGAUCCUUAGCUCCAUGAACUCGCCUCAACCUGCUGAUAAUCAUCCUAGAAGGAUCGCACCUGGAGUGACCGGUUUCACGUUCGUCGGAGCUCGGCCGGUUUUCGAUCGAACACCAAAACCUUUCGAUCGUGAUAUCUCGAGUUUUAGUGCAUCGUUUUGAUUGAUUUUUGAACCAGUGGGUUCACCUGAUGUUCUUAACAACUCUCCAGAAGGAAUCGAGGCCUGAAAUUGAAGUUUGUACGUCGAAAUCGUGGCUCGCCGGUUUCUGCAAUUCUUCACCGGUUUCUGGAAAAUUUCCGGCCACAUUCAUACUGUUCUAGGUGAUUGACGGUCUUCCUUGGUGAGCGGUUUUGGUGUGUAUUGUGAAAGUGAAGACGCAGCGGGAUUAGAGGUUUGGUGUUGUUGCAAUCCCGGUACACUAUUCAAAUUGUGUAGCGGGUAAUCCUACAGGUCAGGAGAAUCGAGAAGGUGAUCAGGCUGCUUAGAGUAGUGGGAUUGGAGUUACAGCUUUAUUGUGAGGUUGUUAUGCUCAUUGAGCUUACAUUUAAAUUUGGUGAGAGUGUGUUGUAAUAUUAAAUUCUUGAGGAUUUGGUUUAUGUAUUAGUGAGUGAGGCUAGAUGUGUUUAUAUCUGAGAAAAAAAUUCAGAACGUUUAUUUGAUUAAGUUGUUUAUUUCAUGUUUCGGAUUUGAAUUUAUUAUU
Rosa chinensis is the source of this 985-nucleotide long non-coding RNA. RefSeq lists it as uncharacterized. The transcript has 3 exons. NCBI's taxonomy places the organism in Eukaryota, Viridiplantae, Streptophyta, Magnoliopsida, Rosales, Rosaceae. The record is from RefSeq and is a predicted model, not a curated record.